UCCGCCCGGCCCCGGCGCGACAUGCGGCGGGAGAGGUGCCGCGCCGCCCGCCCGCGUGCCCGCCAUGGAGGUGCUGAGGCGCUCCUCGGUUUUCGCGGCGGAGAUCAUGGAUGCCUUUGACAGAUCGCCCACCGACAAGGAGCUGGUGGCCCAGGCCAAGGCGCUGGGCCGGGAGUUCGUGCACGCGCGGCUUCUGCGUGCAGGCCUUGCCUGGAGCGCGCCCGAGCGCGCGGCCCCGGCCCCGGGCGGCCGCCUGGCCGAGGUGUGCGCGGUGCUGCUGCGCCUGGGUGACGAGCUGGAGCAGAUCCGGCCCAGUGUGUACCGUAAUGUGGCCCGCCAGCUGCACCUCUCCCUGCAGUCGGAGCCCGUGGUGACGGAUGCGUUCCUGGCUGUGGCCAGCCACAUCUUCUCUGCAGGCAUCACCUGGGGGAAGGUGGUCUCUCUGUACGCCGUGGCGGCUGGUCUGGCGGUGGAUUGCGUGCGGCAGGCCCAACCUGCCCUGGUUCACGCCCUGGUGGACUGCCUGGGGGAGUUUGUGCGCAAGACACUGGCAACCUGGCUCCGGCGGCGCGGAGGAUGGACUGACGUCCUCAAGUGUGUGGUCAGCGCGGACCCUGGCCUUCGUUCCCACUGGUUUGUGGCGGCACUCUGUAGUUUUGGCCGCUUCCUGAAGGCUGCCUUCUUCCUGCUGCUGCCAGAGAGAUGAGCUGCCCGUCUGGUCAGGGCCACAGCCUGGACUGCUGCCGCAGGAUGGGAGGGGACCGUGCCUGACCAAAGCAGGAGCCGUGGUUUACGGGCUUGUGUGCUGGGAGCAGCCUGAGGGGCUCGGUGGCGGGGAACCGGGGCACGCAGCACGGAACAGCAUGUCUGACGAAGAGUGCGGGAGGGCUGGAUCCCAGUAAAACCUCACCCGUGAA
RNA transcript from Dipodomys spectabilis (banner-tailed kangaroo rat), 917 nucleotides. It is a transcript of the gene named BCL2 family apoptosis regulator BOK, with no coding region annotated. The transcript is spliced from 6 exons. NCBI's taxonomy places the organism in Eukaryota, Metazoa, Chordata, Mammalia, Rodentia, Heteromyidae. The record is from RefSeq and is a predicted model, not a curated record.